This 237-nucleotide ribosomal RNA is filed under the name Yersinia enterocolitica subsp. enterocolitica 8081. The record is from RNAcentral. Lineage: Bacteria; Pseudomonadati; Pseudomonadota; Gammaproteobacteria; Enterobacterales; Yersiniaceae.
UACAACACCAAAGGUGUUUUGAAUUUGAGAGAUAGAUAUUUUCAGCGAAGUUCCGAGAUUGGAUUGGCUGGCUGCGUGAUUAAUACAUGUAGCGGGUUAGUUUAGACAGAAUUUGCCUGGCGGCCAUAGCGCGGUGGACCCACCUGAACCCAUGCCGAACUCAGAAGUGAAACGCCGUAGCGCCGAUGGUAGUGUGGGGUCUCCCCAUGCGAGAGUAGGACACUGCCAGGCAUCAAA